This is a long non-coding RNA of Ochotona princeps (American pika), 696 nucleotides long. RefSeq lists it as uncharacterized. Lineage: Eukaryota; Metazoa; Chordata; Mammalia; Lagomorpha; Ochotonidae. The transcript is spliced from 4 exons. The record is from RefSeq and is a predicted model, not a curated record.
AGAGGAAGGAGAAGAUGGCCUGCUUGGGUGGCUCGUCGUCCUCUUCGUCCUCCUCCAUGUCGUUGGCGAGGUGUUCGGAGGACUCAGGCCCACAGGGGCCAGGGCAGAGAGUCGGGAAGCAGAAUACUCACAGAGCUAUGAAGAAAUGGAUGCGCCUGUACUGCCAGGAGAAGAGGCCGGCUCUGCUGAGGUAGGCGACGACCAUGGCCAGCAGGGGCUGCAUCCUGGAUGAGCUGGGUCUGUUCGCAACCCGAGUUUCCAUGAGUGCCAGCAGGUUCCUUGGUCAUGCUCAGCUCAACCCCUGGACACCAUAACUCUUGAGCAAUCCAGCACCUGCCAGGUUUGCACCCUGGGUCUCUCUGCACUCCAGUGCAGGCCACGCCUCCCGCUCCAAGGCCCUUUGCAGGUGAAGAGUCAGUCACCAUCAGUGCUCAGUGUCCAGCGAGGGAGUCAAGGGACCACCACCCCAUGGCGCACCAAGACCACGUGACAGCACGCCAGACGGGACAGAAAAUCCAGCAUGCAUGGUGGAGGAAAGAAGACUGUUUUAUUACACGUCCCCAAGAGGUAUAGUUCAUGUUCUCCCUUCACAGACAGACCACGGUCCUCAUUCAAGUUCAAGGUGUCAAGGCCAGAUGAAACUGACAACAGAAUCGUGGCGAAAGUCACUAACAAACACCCAUAUCUCCACAAACA